CCUACGGGUGGCAGCAGUGGGGGAUAUUGCACAAUGGGGGGAACCCUGAUGCAGCGACGCCGCGUGGGUGAAGGAGCGUUUCGGCGCGUAAAGCCCUAUCGGCAGGGAAGAAGGAGGACGGUACCUGACUAAGAAGCCCCGGCUAACUACGUGCCAGCAGCCGCGGUAAUACGUAGGGGGCAAGCGUUAUCCGGAUUUACUGGGUGUAAGGGGGGCGCAGACGGCAGCGCAAGCCAGGAGUGAAUGCCCGGGGCCCAACCCCCGGACUGCUCUGGAAACUGUACGGCUGGAGUGCAGGAGAGGUAAGUGGAAUUCCUAGUGUAGCGGUGAAAUGCGUAGAUAUUAGGAGGAACACCAGUGGCGAAGGCGGCUUACUGGACUGUAACUGACGUUGAGGCUCGAAAGCGUGGGGAGCAAACAGGAUUAGAUACCCGGGUAGUC
This 441-nucleotide ribosomal RNA is filed under the name uncultured bacterium. RNAcentral describes it as "partial 16S ribosomal RNA". It matches the Rfam family "Bacterial small subunit ribosomal RNA", at positions 338 to 795 of the family's 1533-position model. The record is from RNAcentral.